Molecule: non-coding RNA, 529 nt
Organism: Paramuricea clavata
Lineage: Eukaryota; Metazoa; Cnidaria; Anthozoa; Malacalcyonacea; Plexauridae
Source: the annotation of a GenBank genome assembly
CAGUGGCGUGCUGGGUACUAUUUUUCUGGGGAGGCCAGUCGGCUGGCAACUAAUAUGCGCCCCUAUAAUAUUACCCUUGAUAAACGAGGGCCGAAGGCACGAGCCGAGCGCCGCAGGUGCGAGGUUUGUCUAGGGGGGUCCGGGGGCAUGCCCCCCAGGAAAAUUUUUGAAUUUAGAGUCUCUGAAAUGGCAUUUCCUGGACUUUGGGGGAAGAUUUGACAGAAAUCUGAUGGUCAGGAAACGGCAUUACAACGCGUCGAAAUUUGAAAAUUGGUUAGAAUUUAGUAGCAGCACUUAAAUUGGGCAAUGCUAACUACUUCCAGCAAUUAAUCUAAUCCCAAUUCUAUUCUCUACUGAUCUGAAUACAUUUACAAUUUACAGCUCUUUUAUACAAUAACACACGAACAUGGGCGUACCGGAAGGAAAAAAUUAGGGGGGCGGAAAGAAAAUUGCCCGACUUUUCGGAUUCUGCCCGACUAGUACCAAAAAAUUUUUUCCGGAAAAAUUAUUUUGGCGACCUUCCCCCCCC